CAAGUGAGUUUCAACGCCACCGCUUCUCCUCUCUCCAACUGCCAACACACACCCAAAGCCUCCGCCCCACACCUCGUUUGGACCGCUAAUAAUUUCCUUUCUCUCGUCUCUCUUCCUAUAUCCUCUCCCCCUGCUGUUUCCAUCAGCUUCAGCUUCAGCUUCAGCUUCAACCCAAUAGAACUCCAUGGACAAAUACCCCACUCAAAAAGACGACGUUUUCCCAUCUCUCAAUCUCCACCCUUCCUACAGUUCCGACGACGGCAGCAAUCGCACCCCCAAAUUCUUCGACCGCUUCUACGACUCCUCCUCCGACGAUGACUUCUGCCCCUCCUCCUCCGCCGCAGCCCCAUCCAUCUCCGAGGGCGUCGAGAACGCCGGAAGACGUCUCGACUACAUGAUCCAGUUCCUGGAGCGCAAGCUCUCCUCUCCCGACCACGAUAGGACUCGCGCUCUCCCCGAAUUUGUAGGUAAGGGCGGCGGCACCGGAAUGUUCAAGGUCCCUGUUCAUGCCUCCGUGCAUCCAGGUCGGCCGCCGAGUCUGGAGGUGAGGCCGCACCCGCUGAGGGAAACGCAGAUUGGGUGUUUUCUGAGGAGUGUUGUGUGCACGGAGUCGCAGUUGUGGGCGGGCCAAGAAUGCGGAGUUAGGGUUUGGAAUUUCGCGGAUUUGUAUGGAUCAGCGUGUGGAGCUGGGGGAGUGACGAGGAGCGGGGAUGAGGAAACGGCCCCGUUUUGUGAAUCGGUGCAGACCCCGGCUGCGAUCUGUUUGGUUGUGGAUGAGGCGAAUAGGGUGGUGUGGAGUGGGCACAAGGACGGCAAGGUCCGAGCUUGGAAGAUGGAUCAGCGUUUGGGUGAUGCUCCUUUUACAGAAUGUCUGGCUUGGCAGGCUCAUCGUACUCCAGUUCUUUCACUCGUUAUGACGUCUUAUGGGGAUUUAUGGUCGGGAUCUGAGGGCGGUGUUAUUAAGAUGUGGCCAUGGGAAACAAUUGAAAAAGUUUUUUCUCUAACGAUGGAAGAAAGACAUAUGGCUGCUUUAUUAGUAGAGAGGUCAUUCAUUGACCUUAGGAGCCAAGUAACUGUGAAUGGGGUCUGUAACAUUUUAGCUUCGGAUGUAAAGUAUAUGAUAUCUGACAAUUGUAGAGCGAAAGUCUGGAGUGCAGGGUAUCAAUCAUUUGCCUUGUGGGAUGCUCGUACAAGGGAGUUGCUCAAAGUGUUCAAUGUUGAUGGUCAGAUGGAGAAUCGAGUGGACAUAUCACCAGUGCAGGAUCCUGCAUUUGAUGAGGAAUGGAAGAUGAAGUUUGUUUCGAGUUCGAAGAAGGAUAAGCUUCAGGCUUCCUUUAGUUUUCUCCAACGCUCACGUAAUGCUAUAAUGGGAGCAGCUGAUGCUGUCCGUCGAGUUGCGGCAAAGGGGGCCUUUGGAGAUGAUAGUCGGAGAACUGAAGCUUUGGUCAUGACAAUAGAUGGUAUGAUUUGGACUGGGUGUACAAGUGGCUUACUUGUGCAAUGGGAUGGAAAUGGCAAUCGUUUACAAGAUUUUCAUUACCAUUCUUUUGCUGUUCAAUGUUUUUGUACAUUUGGAUCACGAAUAUGGGUAGGUUAUGUUAGUGGCACAGUCCAGGUAUUGGAUCUAGAGGGUAAUCUGCUUGGAGGAUGGAUAGCUCAUGACAGUCCUGUGAUAAAUAUGACUAGUGGUGCUGGUUAUGUUUUCACCUUAGCUAAUGAUGGUGGUAUACGUGGCUGGAACACCACAUCUCCUGGACCUCUUGACAGCAUAUUGAGUUCAGAAUUGGCUGGCAAAGAAUUCUUAUAUACAAGGCUAGAAAAUUUGAAAAUAUUAGCUGGUACAUGGAAUGUAGGACAAGGAAGAGCUUCCCAUGAUUCACUUAUAUCCUGGCUAGGUUCUGCAGCCUCAGAUGUUGGCAUCAUUGUUGUCGGGCUGCAAGAAGUGGAAAUGGGUGCUGGUUUUCUUGCAAUGUCUGCCGCAAAAGAAACUGUAGGACUUGAGGGGAGUGCUGUUGGGCAGUGGUGGCUGGAUAUGAUAGGGAGAACUUUGGAUGAAGGGUCAAUAUUUGAACGUGUUGGAUCUAGGCAGCUGGCAGGAUUACUCAUUGCUGUAUGGGUUAGAAAUAAUAUCAGAGCUCAUGUUGGAGAUGUUGAUGCUGCAGCAGUUCCGUGUGGAUUUGGGCGUGCAAUCGGUAAUAAGGGAGCUGUUGGUUUGAGAAUGAGAGUGUAUAAUCGGAUAAUGUGUUUUGUAAACUGUCACUUUGCUGCACAUUUAGAGGCAGUCAAUCGUCGUAAUGCGGACUUUGAUCAUGUAUAUCGAACUAUGAUCUUUAGCCGGCCAUCUAACCCUUUUAAUGCUACAACUGGUAUGAUGUUGUACCUGUUCUUGUCUUGCUCGCUUGCUUGCUUAAUGUGUUUAUAUUGGCUUCUUUAUAGUUCUAGCUUGCCAUUGCUCCUUUCUGUUGCAGCUGGUGUUUCAUCUGCUGUACAAAUGCUGCGAAGUGCAAACUCAGUAGAAGGGACUCCUGAAUUGUCUGAGGCAGACAUGGUUGUAUUCCUUGGUGAUUUUAAUUAUCGGCUUGAUGGCAUAUCUUAUGAUGAAGCAAGGGAUUUUGUUUCUCAAAGAUGUUUUGAUUGGCUUAAAGAAAGGGAUCAACUUCGAGCAGAAAUGGAAGCUGGGAAUGUCUUCCAAGGAAUGCGUGAAGCAGUCAUUAGAUUUCCUCCCACAUACAAGUUUGAAAGGCACCAAGCUGGUUUAGCAGGAUAUGAUUCUGGUGAAAAGAAGCGCAUUCCAGCUUGGUGUGACAGGAUUUUAUAUCGUGAUAGCCGCUCAGCUGCUGUAGCUGAAUGCAAUUUAGAGUGUCCUGUAGUCUCUUCAAUUUUACAGUACGAAGCUUGCAUGGAUGUGACAGACAGUGAUCAUAAGCCUGUUCGUUGCAUGUUUAGUGUUGAUAUUGCUCGAGUAGACGAGUCAGUCAGAAGACAGGAGUUUGGAGAAAUUAUUGGAUCCAAUAAGAGGAUCAGGCAUAUGCUUGAAGAACUGUGCAAGAUUCCAGACACUAUUGUUAGUACAAACAACAUAAUCCUUCAGAAUCAGGACACAUCUAUUUUGCGGAUUACUAAUAAAUCAGGGAAAUAUGAGGCUCUAUUUGAAAUAAUUUGUGAAGGUCAGUCCACCAUUAAGGAGGGUGGACUAGCAUCUGAUCAUCAACCAAGGGGUUCCUUUGGCUUUCCACGAUGGCUUGAGGUCAAUCCAGCAUCUGCCAUCAUCAAACCAGAUCAUGUUACAGAGGUGGCGGUUCAUCAUGAGGAAUUCCAAACCCUAGAAGAAUUUGUUGAUGGCAUCGCACAAAAUUGGUGGUGUGAAGACUCUAGAGACAAGGAAGUUAUAUUGGUAGUUAAGAUUCGUGGCAAGUUCACCACUGAGACAAGAAAUCACCGCAUCAGAGUGCGGUACUGCAUUGCGGCUAAGAAAUUACCUAUUGAUUCAAAAUCUAACUCCUCUAGGCAAGCACAAGGAACUGUCCUUCACCGAUCUGAUAUUCAGCGCCUAAGUGGUUCCUCUGAUGUGGUUGCUCACCUGCGGAAUAUGCACAGUCCUUAGGGCAGCAAUGAUUCUGUCUGCACAUCAAUCCGUGAGUAGGUCAACAAGGAAGAUGAAACAAUGACUGUGAUGCAGUCCAUCUGUUCAGACAGACCUCUCCCAGACAAGCAUCUUGUUGUAAAUAGCUGUGGAGCUGGUUCCCAAUGUAAACUUGCAACAAGUUGAGUUUGCUCCCCACAACAUUUUUGUUAGCUUCAAAUAUCUGAGCAAUUGAUGGCAAAUGAAACAGGCUGUUUAUGUACCUGAACAAGAAGAUGAAUUGGAAAGUAAUCCAGGGAAAUGGAAUUAAAAGUGAAUUUGAAGUCGAAGUGAGUAGAUAAAAGGAGAUGGAUGAUAUCAUAGUUUGAGAUGAAUUGUCUGUAUGAAACAGCAUAUCUUUUACGGUCAGGUGUGUCUACAAUCAAAACGAAUCAUGUCUCCAUAGUUUAAUCAAUUCAUUGAAUUAGACAUGUAUAGACAAUUCAACUCUGAUUAAAAGCCUCUUAACAAAAAGGGGCUUCCUCUAUGUUCACUCGGAGGGGUGUAUGAGGAAAAGAAAAGGAGGAAAACAAACUUUCCCAUGAAAAUACCGCGAAGGUGUAUCAGGCUCUUUGUAGUUUAGACUGUCAGUGAGCAUUUAUCCUUGUACA
Molecule: RNA transcript, 4233 nt
Organism: Vitis riparia (riverbank grape)
Lineage: Eukaryota; Viridiplantae; Streptophyta; Magnoliopsida; Vitales; Vitaceae
Gene name: type II inositol polyphosphate 5-phosphatase 15
Exons: 11
Source: RefSeq, a predicted model, not a curated record